GAUGAAGAACGCAGCGAAAUGCGAUACGUAGUGUGAAUUGCAGAAUUCAGUGAAUCAUCGAAUCUUUGAACGCACAUUGCACCUCUCGGUAUUCCGGGAGGUAUGCCUGUUCGAGCGUCAUUUGUACCCUCAAGCUCUGCUUGGUGCUGGGUGUUUGUUCCGCCUCUGUGUGUGAACUCGCCUCAAAACAAUUGGCAGCCGGCGUACUUGUUUCGGAGCGCAGCACAUUUUGCGAUCCAGAUCAACGUACAGCGGCAUCCAAGAAGCCUUAUUUAACGCUCUUGACCUCGGAUCAGGUAGGGAUACCCGCUGAACUUAAGCAUAUCAAUAAGCGGAGGA
Molecule: unclassified non-coding RNA, 339 nt
Filed under: soil metagenome
Description: partial contains 5.8S ribosomal RNA, internal transcribed spacer 2, and large subunit ribosomal RNA
Rfam family: 5.8S ribosomal RNA (bases 1-120)
Source: RNAcentral